Molecule: ribosomal RNA, 459 nt
Filed under: uncultured bacterium
Lineage: Bacteria
Description: partial 16S ribosomal RNA
Rfam family: Bacterial small subunit ribosomal RNA
Source: RNAcentral
AACGAACGCUGGCGGCAUGCUUAACACAUGCAAGUCGAACGCUCUAGGGACUGCGGUUUUAAGAGAGUGACAGACGGGUGAGUAACGUGCGGGAACGUACCUUUUGGUUCGGAAUAACGAUUGGCAACGAUCGCUAAUACCGGAUAGCCUCGUGAGAGGAAAGAUUUAUCGCCAAGAGAGCGGCCCGCGUUAGAUUAGGUAGGUGGUGGGGUCAUGGCCUACCAAGCCUGCGAUCUAUAGCUGGUCUGAGAGGAUGAUCAGCCACACUGGGACUGAGACACGGCACAGACCCCUACGGGAGGCAGCAGUGGGGAAUAUUGGACAAUGGGGGAAACCCUGAUCCAGCAAUGCCGCGUGAGUGAUGAAGGCCUUCGGGUUGUAAAGCUCUUUUACCUGUGAAGAUAAUGACUGUAGCAGGGGAAUAAGCUCCGGCUAACUUCGUGCCAGCCGCCGCAGUAA